GAAGGGGUGGCUGAGAGGUUGAAAGCGUGUGCCUGGAAAGCACUUACAGUUCAAACUGUCGGGGGUUCGAAUCCCUCCCUCUUCU
Molecule: transfer RNA, 85 nt
Filed under: Candidatus Tremblaya phenacola PAVE
Lineage: Bacteria; Pseudomonadati; Pseudomonadota; Betaproteobacteria
Description: tRNA-Ser (GGA) (tRNA-Ser-GGA-1-1)
Rfam family: tRNA
About the family: Transfer RNA (tRNA) molecules are approximately 80 nucleotides in length. Their secondary structure includes four short double-helical elements and three loops (D, anti-codon, and T loops).
Source: RNAcentral